GAAACGUAAAUGGAAGUAGUUUUGAGAUUAUAAACUUAGGGGGAAAUAAAAGAUGGGAACAAUCGUAUGCCAAGUAUGUGAAGGAACAAUUGCACACUUUGAAGAUGAAAAAACAACAGUGCUUUACGGGAAAUGUGGAACUCAUUGCGAAUGUGAUCAUAAUGAACAUACAAAAGCUUAAUAAUAGAGAAAACGCCUGCAGAUGCAGGCGUUUUUUUAAUA
Non-coding RNA from Bacillus gaemokensis, 222 nucleotides. Lineage: Bacteria; Bacillati; Bacillota; Bacilli; Caryophanales; Bacillaceae. The record is from Rfam.